Heterocephalus glaber (naked mole-rat) is the source of this 5587-nucleotide non-coding RNA. NCBI's taxonomy places the organism in Eukaryota, Metazoa, Chordata, Mammalia, Rodentia, Bathyergidae. The record is from RefSeq and is a predicted model, not a curated record.
CUUGUGAAGUCUCUAAUUGCCCAGGCUGGAUUUGAACUUGCAGUCCUCUUGCCUCAGCCUACAAUGCCAUGCAUGGUUUCAUAAGUGUUGUUAGAAAGCUACAUUCCCCAAAAAGCCUACGAUUUUUAUAACUCCUCCCCACCUUCUAGCAGACUUAAUACAAGUUUAUCCCAACAUGUAUAAGUCUUGCAAACAGGACAUUCAACCAGUCUGUGCAUCAGUCACUCCCUGGAACACCCGGAGACCUGUCUUCCUCGCGCUCCAUGGCAGGUUCUGGGGAUGGGGCUGACAGUGGACACUCACUGGCACACCAGCCAGUGCCUACAUCACUGGAGUCCCACAUUGUGACUGUCGCCCUGGGCCAGGAGGCCGCUGUUACCCCAGGUGCAUGACCCUGGCAGACAGUGCUUCAACCCUGAGGCCCAGCUCCAGCCCUUCCUCCCCUGCUGCUUCUCCAGCCUUCCUGUUCCAUGGCCGGGCAGCUUGUCCUCUUCUCCACUGAGUCCAGUCUCUGCAUGAAGCAGAUCUUAAGCACAGCAUUUUCAUCUUUCUGUUCAUCACCCUGGAAUGGGUGCAGAUUCCCCAGUGCCUGAGCAAGAUGACUUCAGGGACUUUCUAGGCAAGACCGUGCCUUUUCCUUCUGAGAGAAAUAAAAUGAGCCGAAUCAUGAACACCCAAGGCAAGGCUUUUAUCAAAGGACAGAGCUAUCGGGCUGUCUGGAACAACGUCAAGAGCGGCAACCUGGGGCUGGCUGGGUGAGGUUUAUAAGGACUGGGGGUAGUGUGGUAGAGGCAGAUGAUUGGCUACGACUCGGGGUGAGGUGGGGAAAAAGCAGGUCUUUGUUCUCUCUGGAGUGACUCAUUUCCUGUAGGCAGGGCCAUUUUAGGAUGCAGGGUUGUUGGGACCAUUUUAUCUAGCAGAGAACUCUAUCACCUUCCACGGUUCCUCGUCCUCUAGCGUCCUGUGUUGGGUUUUCCCAGAAGACAACUUUAAGAGGAGGAUUUGAGUCCAAGGGAUUUAUUUUGGGGGUGAAGUGAGUGGUUUCCCCCAUGAGCACCUGCAUGACCACACAGCAUCUCUGAAUUACCCCAUGCAGGGAAGGUGAGCGAGCAUGGGGGUUCCCCUCCAUUCCCUGGGGUCAUCAGGUGGAGCUGCGGUGGCAUGGCCAGCUGCCAGGGCAUGCCUGUCAUGGUGAGCAGCAAAGCUGUCGUCUUGGUGACUUUGGAAGCCUCGGGAGGAAGCACUCAGGUCAGCAAUGGGCUUCCUAGGGUCCUUAUGCUUGGCUCACGACUUGCAGUUAGAGCCCCACAGGAGAUGCUGACAGCCCCUAGCCCCUCCUCCAGGCACAGGGGCGUCUGCAGAGGUCUUACUCACUGCUUCGCUCUUUACCAAUUCCAGAAUUACAGUUGAUUAUCCUCUGUUUGGUGAGCCUGCUCUCAUCUGAAAGACCAUGAACUAGGUGCUAUGGUGGCAAUCAGCCAAGGGUUCUUUUGCUCAAUUCAUAUGGAAAUUAUGACUUGGCAAAGUGCAGUUCUGCUGGCAGCCCUGAUUUCACCAGAUGCCAACAGGUGAUGCAGCCAGCUGCUGCCAGCUAUCACCUUCCAGCACCAGCUUAGGCUGGACACUGUAAAUGAGCUCUAAUGGGUGCUGGUCACUGCCACUGCCGGCCACCACCUGGUCUCUGCUGCUGGUCUCUGGAGCUCUUUGGUAUCAACAGCUCUUCGUGUUUCUUCUCUUUCUUUGGAAAUGACCGCUGUGUCUGUGCUACUCAGGGUACAAGUCCCAAGUGGGUUUACAGGACUUCUGGAGCCCACACUACCCAAGAAAUAAAUCGUGAACAGGUUUACAGGACCUCCAAGGCGGCCGGCCUAUGGGAGAAGAACUAACCAGACAGAGCUGCUCAAGACCCUUUCCAGCUGGGCAACCCAUAGGAACAGAAACGAAGGUGGCUCGAGCCUGGGGUUAAACCGGCAGAAUCACGUGCGGAAUCACAUUGGCAGCCCCAGGCGGGUCUUAGCGGGAGAAUCUGCCUCCAAGACCCAGCCCUUGCAGACCGAGGCCAGCUUCCAGCAUGGCUGUGACUGGCCAAGGGUCACUCACUCCCACGCUUUCCAACACAGCUGGGUGCAAGCCAAGGAGGCAAGCAGCAGAGUCAAUCUUUUCCAAGCUCUCUGUGGAAUGGAUGUCACUUAUCCAUGCCCUGUGCCAUAUUUUAUUGGUUAGAAACAACUCAUUAGGCGCGCACCCUGGGGGAGGUGGCUACAUAAUAAGCCCAGGAACACAGGAAGUAGAUCACGGAGGGAUGCCUGAGAAGUCUGCCUACCACAGUGUCUUCAGCCCCUGGUUACAGCAGGUGCUCAAUAAUGUUCGUCAUUUUGGAUUUUGGUGUUCCUACCACAACAGGACUAGUUGGAAAAUUGCACUACAAAAAUAAUAAACUUCAGGGCCGGGGAUUUAGCUCAGUGGUUCCACAGCCUGCUUUGCAAGGACAAGGACCUGAGUUUGUUCGCCGGUACCAAAAAUAAAUAAAUAAAUAAACUUCAGGUGUUAGAGGGGGCUGAUCUGAUGGGAAAUUCUGUUCUCUCUGGGGGACAAAUUCACCAGGAAUUCAGUCCUGUCCUCAUGGCUGGACUGUCCUGGGGGUGAGCCUAUAUCCUUUACCUCAACACCUUCAACAUUUAGCAGAGCCUCCUCAACACAUGAAAGGAGCUUGGAGAGCAUGGAAUGGAUUAUGGAUGGAGGAAUGGUCAAGAGAACGAUAAACUCUCUACUCCUCAGACACCCUCUGUCCACCAACCAGGAUAUACUUUUUUUUGGUGUGUGUGCUGGUGGGAAUUGAACCCAGAGCCUUGGGCAUACUAGGCAAAUGCUGUACACUGAGCUGGGCCCUCGGCACCAGGCUCCAGGUUUAACAAAACAUGGACUUUGAAAAGUGGGCACAGAAAGGGGAAAUCUACUACUUCACUAACAGUUUUUUUGACUGAACAGGUGUCAACAAGGCUUUCCCCAUGUUGGCCCUGGGUGUUUUCAUCUCUCAAUCAUACUUUUCAAAAUCCUAAUCUGAGAAAAAUCUAUAUUAUGAACAAAUAGAAACUGUACCAAGUAAAAUCUGAGCAUGCCAUAAUGGUCAGAAGGAGUCUUCCCGGCCCAGGCCCUGGGCAAAUGGGAUUUAGAAUCUCGAUUAUCUGUAGAUGUUUAGUAGAAAGAACUGAGGCACUGAAUGUACUCUAAGGAGUUGUGUUGCGCUUGUGGCUUUUAUCCGGAUAUCCCCCAAAAGCCUUGAGUGCUCACAGACUGGGCUUUGGAGGAUGGCAAUCAGGGGCUGAUGUCGCCCUUGUUGCUAGGAGACUGGGUUGCUAGGAGACCGGGUUGGCUCAGAAGAGGUGGGCUUGCUGGGGGUGACAUGGAGGGGGUGAACCCCCCUCCUACCCUCCCCUGCUUCCUCACCACCAUGACGUGAGCAGCUUUCCUGCCACCAGGCCAUGUCUGUGUUUCCUCCUGCCAAUCAUGGACUGAAACUUCUGAAACUAUGAGCCAAAAUAAACCUCUACUCCUUUGAGCUGCAUUGAGUCUUAAUGAUGAAGACAGUGAGUAAGACAUACAGGGCUUUAGAGCUAGGGUCGGGCGGAAGAGGGAAUCCACAUUAAGCCUUGUCCAGGUUCUUCUCUACACAAGGACAUAUAUCAGGUUUUGGAAGUAAAAGUCUGGGACUGCAGUAGGUGUUAAGAAAGUGAGCUGGGCGUGGUGAUGCAUGCCUGUCAUCCUAGCACCUGGGAGGCUGAGGCAGGAGGAUUGCAAAUUUUAGCUCCACCCGGGGAAUUUAGCAAGACCCUUUCUCAAAAUAAAAAAAAAUAAAAUAAAAAAGGGCUGGGAAAGUAAUGGGCAAAGACCUGGUUUUGAUCCCAGUAGUGAAAAACAGAAUGUGAUCAAGGAUUGGGAUGUAGCUCAGUAGUAGAGUGCUUGCCAUGAGAGGCACGUGAGAGGCCCUGGGUUUCACCCCAGGACCACAGGGGAGGAGGCUCACACUGUUUUGUCAUUUGCCACAGGUGAAAUGCUGGCUAGAAAAGGAAGUUUAUUCAUCAAGAGAAAUGAGUGCUUAGUUUUAGAACAGAUACACCUUCUCUCUUCCUUUCCCCUUACUUCUUCUCCUCUUUCUCUUCCUUCUUUCCAGCAUACACACGUGCUGUCUCCCUGGGAAGUGCCCUCAAAACACCAAAGCUUUUCUGAGCCAUUCUCUUAUUUUUAGAGCAAAUCAACAUUCCAAAGGGUAACCCCACACGCAAAACCAGAUAGCACUUCCACUGGCAUGAACAGAUAUUUCAAUAUUGCUUUUUAUAACUUUUCUCACUUGGCUAUCUUGCAGCAGCUGCUGCUAAAGACAGAGGCUUUAGCUGAAUUCUGCACACAUAUUUGGGAAGGAUGUCACCCCCGCCUCAGCCCUGGCCACGCCUGAGUAUGCACAAUGUUGAACUGGUCCGGGGUGGUCCGGGAGAAAGUAAGAGCAGAUUUUCUUUUCUUUGGAGAAGGUGCCUGCCGUUUCCUUUCUGUCAAGGAGGAGGGAUUUCCUGAUUCCACACACAAAAGAUAUUUGUGGAAAGUCACACAGCCACUGACAUGACCAGCGGGUUUGGUUGUCCCUUUGUUUGGGGCGAUUUGCACUGCGUGGCUUGGUGCUGGUGGCCUAUGAGUCAGCUGGGCUGUGUACUUUGUAAGCAUGACAAGGGGGUUCCCGAGAACUACACAUUUUGCACAACAAAUCUCUUAAGUAAAUAAUGGAAAAUGAUGGUUUAUUUUAAGCCCUUUGAAAAGUUGGAAAAUGAUGCAAUCGGAAAGAGCCCAUCUGUUCUUAGUCAGCUUUUGACCUUUGACUAUGUAAACAAGAAACAGAGGAGCAAGAGCGAGGGCCUGGCCUGACUGCUACCCAGAUGGACAGACAGCGUCUUGCCAUGCAGCUGACAGACGCGAUUAGGACGCCACUGCAUGUAACAGGACACUCGGUCAUUUAUUCACCAGUGCAGCUGCUCAGUAUCUGGCAAUUUCGGCACAGUACUUGUUUUUCUUUCCUUUUGAACCACGCGGAGGCCCUGGGUUGGGUGUUAUAAUAUGUAACACGAUGUAGGAAGGGUCUGUAUCUCAGGUCAGCCUCUGUAAAAAGAGGGGGCUGCACCUGCUCCAAAAUGCUGAUGGCAACCUGGGUAUGGUGGUGCACAUCUCUAAUCCCAGCACUGUGGGAGGCUGAGGCAGGAGGACAAAAAAAUUUGAGCCCAGUCUGGACAACUGAGAAACUUAGCAAGACCUUGUCACAAACAAACAAACAAACAAACAACAAAGCUAUGACAAAGGUACUAUAGCUAAACGGAAGCCCAGAGAGGUUCACUUGCCAUAAGUCUCACAGCUAGAACCCAGCAGUUUGUUCCUAGAGCUGCCCUCUCAACCACCUCGACACGGAUGCCCAUGAGACAGAGGGACACUGGGACACUGGAGAGUUGCAUAAGAAUCCUAAAACCUUGCCGGGUAUGGUGGCACACACCUGUAAUCCCAGCACUCGGGAGGCUGAGGCAGGAGGAUCACUAAACGUUGGAGGCCA